RNAcentral lists this ribosomal RNA (450 nucleotides) under uncultured bacterium. RNAcentral describes it as "bacterial SSU rRNA". It matches the Rfam family "Bacterial small subunit ribosomal RNA", at positions 328 to 793 of the family's 1533-position model. The record is from RNAcentral.
CUCUGUGACUCUACGGGAGGCAGCAGUGGGGAAUAUUGCACAAUGGGCGCAAGCCUGAUGCAGCAACGCCGUGUGAGUGAAGAAGGUUUUCGGAUCGUAAAACUCUGUCCUAAGGGAAGAAACAAAUGACGGUACCUUAGGAGGAAGCCCCCGGCUAACUACGUGCCAGCAGCCGCGGUAAUACGUAGGGGGCAAGCGUUAUCCGGAAUCACUGGGCGUAAAGGGUGCGUAGGCGGCUUAGCAAGCCAGGGGUGAAAGGCAUUGGCUCAACCAAUGUAAGCCUUUGGAACUGUUAGGCUUGAGUGCAGGAGAGGUAAGUGGAAUUCCUAGUGUAGAGGUGAAAUUCGUAGAUAUUAGGAGGAACACCAGUGGCGAAGGCGACUUACUGGACUGUAACUGACGCUGAUGCACGAAAGCGUGGGUAGCGAACAGGAUUAGAUACCCUGGUAG